This 66-nucleotide transfer RNA is filed under the name Notocotylus intestinalis. RNAcentral's name for it is "tRNA-Phe". Lineage: Eukaryota; Metazoa; Platyhelminthes; Trematoda; Plagiorchiida; Notocotylidae. The record is from RNAcentral.
UUCUUUCUAGCUUAAGUUUUAAAGUGUUAGUUUGAAGAGCUAAAGAUAUAGUUAAUGUGAAAGAAG